GCCCAAAGAAGAUUGAGUGCUUGCACAAGAUUGGACUUGGAUUACCACCUAGUGGCGGACGGGUGAGUAACACGUAGGUGACCUGCCUUUGAGUUUGGGAUAACUAUUAGAAAUGAUAGCUAAUACCGGAUUAAAUGCAGAUUCGUUUCUGUAUUAAAAGGAGCCUUUAAAGCUUCGCUUAAAGAUGGGCCUGCGGCGUAUUAGCUAGUUGGUGAGGUAAUGGCUUACCAAGGCGACGAUGCGUAGCCGAACUGAGAGGUUGAUCGGCCACAUUGGGACUGAGACACGGCCCAAACUCCUACGGGAGACAGCAGUUAGGGAUAUUCGUCAAUGGGGGAAACCCUGAACGAGCAAUGCCGCGUGAACGAUGAAGGCCCUAUGGGUUGUAAAGUUCUGUUGCAUGGGACGAACGAUUAGGAUAGGAAAUGAUCUUAAUGUGACGGUACCAUGCCAGAAAGCUCCGGCUAACUACGUGCCAGCAGCCGCGGUAAUACGUAGGGAGCAAGCGUUAUCCGGAUUUAUUGGGCGUAAAGGGUGCGUAGGCGGUUUGUUAAGUAUGAGAUUAAAGCCCGAGGCUUAACCUCGGUUCGUUUCAUAAACUGGCAGACUUGAGUGUGGCAGAGGUAAACGGAAUUUCUAGUGUAGCGGUUAAAUGCGUAGAUAUUAGAAGGAACACCAGUGGCGAAGGCGGUUUACUGGGCCAUAACUGACGCUGAGGCACGAAAGCGUGGGGAGCAAAUAGGAUUAGAUACCCUAGUAGUCCACGCCGUAAACGAUGAGUACUAAGUGUUGGGGCAACUCAGUGCUGAAGUUAACACAUUAAGUACUCCGCCUGAGUAGUACGGUCGCA
RNAcentral lists this ribosomal RNA (850 nucleotides) under uncultured bacterium. RNAcentral describes it as "bacterial SSU rRNA". It matches the Rfam family "Bacterial small subunit ribosomal RNA", at positions 61 to 890 of the family's 1533-position model. The record is from RNAcentral.